Molecule: ribosomal RNA, 253 nt
Filed under: uncultured bacterium
Lineage: Bacteria
Description: partial 16S ribosomal RNA
Rfam family: Bacterial small subunit ribosomal RNA
Source: RNAcentral
UACGGGGGGGGCAAGCGUUGUUCGGAAUUACUGGGCGUAAAGGGCGCGUAGGCGGCCUGUUAAGUCGAACGUGAAAUCCCCGGGCUCAACCCGGGAACUGCGUCCGAUACUGGCAGGCUUGAAUUCGGGAGAGGGAUGCGGAAUUCCAGGUGUAGCGGUGAAAUGCGUAGAUAUCUGGAGGAACACCGGUGGCGAAGGCGGCAUCCUGGACCGGUAUUGACGCUGAGGCGCGAAAGCUAGGGGAGCAAACGGG